GACGAACGCUGGCGGCGUGCUUAACACAUGCAAGUCGAACGGAAAGGCCCUGCUUUUGUGGGGUGCUCGAGUGGCGAACGGGUGAGUAACACGUGAGUAACCUGCCCUUGACUUUGGGAUAACUUCAGGAAACUGGGGCUAAUACCGGAUAGGAGCUCCUGCUGCAUGGUGGGGGUUGGAAAGUUUCGGCGGUUGGGGAUGGACUCGCGGCUUAUCAGCUUGUUGGUGGGGUAGUGGCUUACCAAGGCUUUGACGGGUAGCCGGCCUGAGAGGGUGACCGGCCACAUGGGGACUGAGAUACGGCCGAGACUCCUACGGGAGGCAGCAGUGGGGAAUAUUGCACAAUGGGCGGAAGCCUGAUGCAGCAACGCCGCGUGCGGGAUGACGGCCUUCGGGUUGUAAACCGCUUUCGCCUGUGACGAAGCGUGAGUGACGGUAAUGUAUAAAGAAGCACCGGCUAACUACGUG
This 468-nucleotide ribosomal RNA is filed under the name uncultured bacterium. RNAcentral's name for it is "partial 16S ribosomal RNA". It matches the Rfam family "Bacterial small subunit ribosomal RNA", at positions 28 to 507 of the family's 1533-position model. The record is from RNAcentral.